ACGGGAGGCAGCAGUGGGGGAUAUUGCACAAUGGGGGAAACCCUGAUGCAGCGACGCCGCGUGAGCGAAGAAGUAUUUCGGUAUGUAAAGCUCUAUCAGCAGGGAAGAAAAUGACGGUACCUGACUAAGAAGCCCCGGCUAACUACGUGCCAGCAGCCGCGGUAAUACGUAGGGGGCAAGCGUUAUCCGGAUUUACUGGGUGUAAAGGGAGCGUAGACGGUCUGGCAAGUCUGAUGUGAAAGGCAGGGGCUCAACUCCUGGACUGCAUUGGAAACUGUCAGUCUUGAGUGUCGGAGAGGUAAGCGGAAUUCCUAGUGUAGCGGUGAAAUGCGUAGAUAUUAGGAGGAACACCAGUGGCGAAGGCGGCUUGCUGGACUGUUACUGACACUGAGGCACGAAAGCGUGGGGAGCAAACAGGAUUAGAUACCCUGGUA
This 434-nucleotide ribosomal RNA is filed under the name uncultured Clostridium sp. RNAcentral's name for it is "partial 16S ribosomal RNA". It matches the Rfam family "Bacterial small subunit ribosomal RNA", at positions 341 to 792 of the family's 1533-position model. Lineage: Bacteria; Bacillati; Bacillota; Clostridia; Eubacteriales; Clostridiaceae. The record is from RNAcentral.